GAUGAAGAACGUAGUGAAAUGCGAUAAGUAAUGUGAAUUGCAGAAUUCGGUGAAUCAUCGAAUCUUUGAACGCACAUUGCGCCCGCCAGUAUUCUGGCGGGCAUGCCUGUUCGAGCGUCAUUUCAACCCUCAGGCCCCCAGUGCCUGGUGUUGGGGAUCGGCCCAGCCUUCCUGUAAGGCCGCCGGCCCCGAAAUCUAGUGGCGGUCUCGCUGUAGUCCUCCUCUGCGUAGUAGCACAACCUCGCAGUUGGAACGCGGCGGUGGCCAUGCCGUUAAACACCCCACUUCUGAAAGUUGACCUCGGAUCAGGUAGGAAUACCCGCUGAACUUAAGCAUAUCAAUAAGCGGAGGA
This 352-nucleotide unclassified non-coding RNA is filed under the name soil metagenome. Its description in RNAcentral is "partial contains 5.8S ribosomal RNA, internal transcribed spacer 2, and large subunit ribosomal RNA". The stretch from base 1 to 120 matches the Rfam family "5.8S ribosomal RNA", at positions 35 to 154 of the family's 154-position model. The record is from RNAcentral.